GACGAACGCUGGCGGCGUGCUUAACACAUGCAAGUCGAGCGGUAAGGCCCUUUCGGGGGUACACGAGCGGCGAACGGGUGAGUAACACGUGGGUGACCUGCCCUCAGCUCUGGGAUAAGCCUGGGAAACUGGGUCUAAUACUGGAUAUGACUCCACGGUGCAUGUCGUGGGGUGGAAAGCCUUGUGCGGCUGAGGAUGGGCCCGCGGCCUAUCAGCUUGUUGGUGGGGUGANGGCCUACCAAGGCGACGACGGGUAGCCGGCCUGAGAGGGCGACCGGCCACACUGGGACUGAGACACGGCCCAGACUCCUACGGGAGGCAGCAGUGGGGAAUCUUGCGCAAGUGGGCGAAAG
This 353-nucleotide ribosomal RNA is filed under the name uncultured bacterium. Its description in RNAcentral is "bacterial SSU rRNA". It matches the Rfam family "Bacterial small subunit ribosomal RNA", at positions 28 to 381 of the family's 1533-position model. The record is from RNAcentral.